AGUGGCGGACGGGUGAGUAACGCGUGGGUAACCUGCCCUGUACAGGGGGAUAACAGUCAGAAAUGACUGCUAAUACCGCAUAAGACCACAGCACCGCAUGGUGCAGGGGUAAAAACUCCGGUGGUACAGGAUGGACCCGCGUCUGAUUAGCUGGUUGGUGAGGUAACGGCUCACCAAGGCGACGAUCAGUAGCCGGCUUGAGAGAGUGAACGGCCACAUUGGGACUGAGACACGGCCCAAACUCCUACGGGAGGCAGCAGUGGGGAAUAUUGCACAAUGGGGGAAACCCUGAUGCAGCGACGCCGCGUGAAGGAAGAAGUAUCUCGGUAUGUAAACUUCUAUCAGCAGGGAAGAUAGUGACGGUACCUGACUAAGAAGCCCCGGCUAACUACGUGCCAGCAGCCGCGGUAAUACGUAGGGGGCAAGCGUUAUCCGGAUUUACUGGGUGUAAAGGGAGCGUAGACGGUGUGGCAAGUCUGAUGUGAAAGGCAUGGGCUCAACCUGUGGACUGCAUUGGAAACUGUCAUACUUGAGUGCCGGAGGGGUAAGCGGAAUUCCUAGUGUAGCGGUGAAAUGCGUAGAUAUUAGGAGGA
Molecule: ribosomal RNA, 593 nt
Filed under: uncultured Lachnospiraceae bacterium
Lineage: Bacteria; Bacillati; Bacillota; Clostridia; Lachnospirales; Lachnospiraceae
Description: bacterial SSU rRNA
Rfam family: Bacterial small subunit ribosomal RNA
Source: RNAcentral